This 894-nucleotide ribosomal RNA is filed under the name Acremonium sclerotigenum. Its description in RNAcentral is "LSU rRNA". It matches the Rfam family "Eukaryotic large subunit ribosomal RNA", at positions 37 to 963 of the family's 3401-position model. Lineage: Eukaryota; Fungi; Ascomycota; Sordariomycetes; Hypocreales; Bionectriaceae. The record is from RNAcentral.
AGCAUAUCAAUAAGCGGAGGAAAAGAAACCAACAGGGAUUGCCCUAGUAACGGCGAGUGAAGCGGCAACAGCUCAAAUUUGAAAUCUGGCCUCACGGUCCGAAUUGUAAUUUGUAGAGGAUGUUUCUGGCGACGUGUCUUCCGAGUUCCCUGGAACGGGACGCCAUAGAGGGUGAGAGCCCCGUCCGGUCGUACACCUAGCCUCUGUGAAACUCCUUCGACGAGUCGAGUAGUUUGGGAAUGCUGCUCUAAAUGGGAGGUAUACGUCUUCUAAAGCUAAAUACCGGCCAGAGACCGAUAGCGCACAAGUAGAGUGAUCGAAAGAUGAAAAGCACUUUGAAAAGAGGGUUAAAUAGUACGUGAAAUUGCUGAAAGGGAAGCGCUUAUGACCAGACUUGGGCUCGGUGAAUCAUCCGGCGUUCUCGCCGGUGCACUUUGCCGUCCCAGGCCAGCAUCAGUUCGCGCCGGGGGAUAAAGGUUUCGGGAAUGUAGCUCCCUCGGGAGUGUUAUAGCCCGUUGCGUAAUACCCUGGCGUGGACUGAGGUCCGCGCUCUGCAAGGAUGCUGGCGUAAUGGUCAUCAGUGACCCGUCUUGAAACACGGACCAAGGAGUCGUCUUCGUAUGCGAGUGUUCGGGUGUCAAACCCCUACGCGUAAUGAAAGUGAACGUAGGAGAGAGCUUCGGCGCAUCUCCGACCGAUCCUGAUGUUCUCGGAUGGAUUUGAGUAAGAGCAUACGGGGCCGGACCCGAAAGAAGGUGAACUAUGCCUGUAUAGGGUGAAGCCAGAGGAAACUCUGGUGGAGGCUCGCAGCGGUUCUGACGUGCAAAUCGAUCGUCAAAUAUGGGCAUGGGGGGCGAAAGACUAAUCGAACCUUCUAGUAGCUGGUUUCCGCGA